GAUCAUUUUUUUCAAAGUAAAAGUCUGAGAUUAACCCUCUGUGUGUGUGUGUGUGUGUGUGUGUGUGUCUGUCUGCAGUCUGUUCACGGAGAACGUCCUGGCUCACCCGUGUAUCGUCUUCCGCAGACAGUGUCAGGUGAACUACCACGCCCGCUGUUACCACCUGACCCCCUUCAGCGCCGUCGCCGUCAUGUACUCCAUCACCAAGGCUCAGGGUCCUAAGGCUUUGUGGAAGGGGAUGGGCAGCACCUUUAUCGUUCACGGCAUCACACUCGGCGCCGAGGGAAUCAUCAGCGAGUUCACGCCGUUACCACGGGAGCUUCCUCACAGGUGGAGCUGGAAGCAGCUGGCGGGUCAUUUGCUUCUUAAAGGGUAAAUUCACUGAAACACAAACAUAUAAAAACAGCAAUUUACAGGAUGGAAAAAGUUUUGGAAAAGUUUUGGAAAUCUAUUUCACAAAGCUGUGUAAUAAUACAUGAUGUGUUAAAUGACUGUCGGAAAUUUGAAAAUCCAACAAUAAUUCCUGGUUUCACGGUUCCUGGCUGAUAAACGAGGCCAUUUUGGGUUUUUUGAAGGAGGCAUGUUUAAAAUAAAUUAAUAAAAAUGCCAAAAUGUUUCUCUUA
Non-coding RNA from Plectropomus leopardus (leopard coralgrouper), 623 nucleotides. NCBI's taxonomy places the organism in Eukaryota, Metazoa, Chordata, Actinopteri, Perciformes, Serranidae. The record is from RefSeq and is a predicted model, not a curated record.